This 453-nucleotide ribosomal RNA is filed under the name uncultured Prevotellaceae bacterium. RNAcentral describes it as "bacterial SSU rRNA". It matches the Rfam family "Bacterial small subunit ribosomal RNA", at positions 341 to 792 of the family's 1533-position model. The record is from RNAcentral. Lineage: Bacteria; Pseudomonadati; Bacteroidota; Bacteroidia; Bacteroidales; Prevotellaceae.
ACGGAAGGCAGCAGUGAGGAAUAUUGGUCAAUGGGCGAGAGCCUGAACCAGCCAAGUAGCGUGAAGGAUGACUGCCCUACGGGUUGUAAACUUCUUUUAUACGGGAAUAAAAAAGGCCACGCGUGGCCUCUUGCAUGUACCGUAUGAAUAAGCAUCGGCUAAUUCCGUGCCAGCAGCCGCGGUAAUACGGAAGAUGCGAGCGUUAUCCGGAUUUAUUGGGUUUAAAGGGAGCGUAGGCGGGUCUUUAAGUCAGUGGUCAAAGUGUGUGGCUCAACCAUACCACGCCAUUGAUACUGGAGACCUUGAGUGCACAUAAGGAUGGUGGAAUUCGUCGUGUAGCGGUGAAAUGCUUAGAUAUGACGAAGAACUCCGAUUGCGAAGGCAGCUGUCCGGGGUGUAACUGACGCUAAUGCUCGAAAGUGCGGGUAUCAAACAGGAUUAGAUACCCUGGUA